AGUGUAGGCGGCUAUUUAAGUCGGAUGUGAAAGCCCCGGGCUCAACCUGGGAAUUGCAUUCGAAACUGAAUAGCUAGAGUUUGGUAGAGGUAAGUGGAAUUCUGGGUGUAGCGGUGAAAUGCGUAGAUAUCCGGAGGAACAUCAGUGGCGAAGGCGGCUUACUGGACCAAAACUGACGCUGAGGCUCGAAAGCGUGGGGAGCAAACAGGAUUAGAUACCCUGUAGUCC
This 228-nucleotide ribosomal RNA is filed under the name uncultured bacterium. Its description in RNAcentral is "partial 16S ribosomal RNA". It matches the Rfam family "Bacterial small subunit ribosomal RNA", at positions 568 to 796 of the family's 1533-position model. The record is from RNAcentral.